GACAGAGGGUGCAAACGUUGUUCGGAAUUACUGGGCGUAAAGCGUGCGUAGGCGGUUUCUUAAGUCCGUUGUGAAAGCCCUGGGCUCAACCUGGGAACUGCAGUGGAUACUGAGAGGCUAGAGUGUGUCAGAGGAUGGUGGAAUUCCCGGUGUAGCGGUGAAAUGCGUAGAGAUCGGGAGGAACAUCAGUGGCGAAGGCGGCCAUCUGGGACAACACUGACGCUGAGGCACGAAAGCGUGGGGAGCAAACAGG
RNAcentral lists this ribosomal RNA (253 nucleotides) under uncultured bacterium. RNAcentral's name for it is "partial 16S ribosomal RNA". It matches the Rfam family "Bacterial small subunit ribosomal RNA", at positions 524 to 776 of the family's 1533-position model. The record is from RNAcentral.